Molecule: ribosomal RNA, 301 nt
Filed under: Escherichia coli
Lineage: Bacteria; Pseudomonadati; Pseudomonadota; Gammaproteobacteria; Enterobacterales; Enterobacteriaceae
Description: partial 23S ribosomal RNA
Rfam family: Bacterial large subunit ribosomal RNA
Source: RNAcentral
UGGGAGGCUUUGAAGUGUGGACGCCAGUCUGCAUGGAGCCGACCUUGAAAUACCACCCUUUAAUGUUUGAUGUUCUAACGUGGGCCCCUUACCGGGGUUGCGGACAGUGUCUGGUGGGUAGUUUGACUGGGGCGGUCUCCUCCUAAAGAGUAACGGAGGAGCACGAAGGUUGGCUAAUCCUGGUCGGACAUCAGGAGGUUAGUGCAAUGGCAUAAGCCAGCUUGACUGCGAGCGUGACGGCGCGAGCAGGUGCGAAAGCAGGUCAUAGUGAUCCGGUGGUUCUGAAUGGAAGGGCCAUCGC